This 403-nucleotide ribosomal RNA is filed under the name uncultured bacterium. RNAcentral's name for it is "partial 16S ribosomal RNA". It matches the Rfam family "Bacterial small subunit ribosomal RNA", at positions 30 to 526 of the family's 1533-position model. The record is from RNAcentral.
AUUGAACGCUGGCGGCAGGCCUAACACAUGCAAGUCGAGCGAGCGGCGGACGGGUGAGUAAUGUAUGGGGACUGCCCGAUAGAGGGGGAUAACUACUGGAAACGGUGGCUAAUACCGCAUACUAUCGGAUAACCCAUAUGGGAUUAGCUAGUAGGUAAGGUAAUGGCUUACCUAGGCGACGAUCCCUAGCUGGUCUGAGAGGAUGAUCAGCCACACUGGGACUGAGACACGGCCCAGACUCCUACGGAGGCAGCAGUGGGGAAUAUUGCACAAGGGGCGCAAGCCUGAUGCAGCCAUGCCGCGUGUAUGAAGAAGGCCUUAGGGUUGUAAAGUACGUUCAGCGGGGAGGCGUUACCGGCAGAAGAAGCACCGGCUAACUCCGUGCCAGCAGCCGCGGUAAUUC